GUAGUGUGUUGGUAGAGGAGGGGGGGUCACCAUAGUUUAGACUUUUAGAGGAGAAACCUAUUAUCAUUCUUUCUCUUUCGAACCGCUGGCCGAGAAGGUUACUCUAGUCAUCAUUGCUGGGUACUCUUUUUCCUGACAAUGUUCUUCAAUAAAAAAAGGUUGGUGGAGAUUGUUCUUAAUAUGCAGUGUCAACAACAAGAAUCUGUAAUGAGGGCUCUCUACCAGGUUGUGAGAUGAAAAUGUCAGUUGGGUGUUGAAGCUGUUAAUGGUGGGGAUGUCUGGUGUGCAGCGGUGUGGCAGUCAUUUUCUGAUCGAGAGAUUCACUGAAAUGGAUCUUCUGCAGACUUGCAGUUCAACAUCAGACUUCAAAAUACCAUGUUGGUGCCUGUCCAUGCUGUGUUGAGCUGUUGUGUGCAAAAUGGUUGGUGUUGCAUGAUGGCUGUCUGGCAUUUUGUUAGUGGUUGUCUUGCUACCUGUACACAUGAUAAGUGCAAUCGUAUGCCGCCGUUCCAGACUUGAUCCAUUGGUGAAGCUAAGAAGAGGUUACUUAACUUCAAGAUGGAUGAAUUAUUUAUAUUUAGACCAACUAAAACUGCAAAUCUAUUGUCCCUUUUCCCUAAGUAAACAAAAUGUUCUCUGUUGCCUAGUUGUGUGAAAACCAGGAGUGUCAUGAUUGAAUGGGGAGUUUGCAAUGAGGUUUUAUAUUUUCCAUGUGAAAGAAAAGUUAAACCACAGACUUUAAUGAUCCAGCUAACACUACCGCCUACAUAACAAUCCUUUAACAUAACAAUCCUUUAACAUAACGCUUUUAAUCAAUAACAUGAUAUCGUAAAAAAAAUAAAUUAUUGAAAUCAAAAUUGUUUUUGCUGUG
Molecule: long non-coding RNA, 871 nt
Organism: Daphnia pulex (common water flea)
Lineage: Eukaryota; Metazoa; Arthropoda; Branchiopoda; Diplostraca; Daphniidae
Exons: 4
Source: RefSeq, a predicted model, not a curated record